This 468-nucleotide ribosomal RNA is filed under the name uncultured bacterium. Its description in RNAcentral is "partial 16S ribosomal RNA". It matches the Rfam family "Bacterial small subunit ribosomal RNA", at positions 28 to 507 of the family's 1533-position model. The record is from RNAcentral.
GACGAACGCUGGCGGCGUGCUUAACACAUGCAAGUCGAACGGAAAGGCCCUGCUUUUGUGGGGUGCUCGAGUGGCGAACGGGUGAGUAACACGUGAGUAACCUGCCCUUGACUUUGGGAUAACUUCAGGAAACUGGGGCUAAUACCGGAUAGGAGCUCCUGCUGCAUGGUGGGGGUUGGAAAGUUUCGGCGGUUGGGGAUGGACUCGCGGCUUAUCAGCUUGUUGGUGGGGUAGUGGCUUACCAAGGCUUUGACGGGUAGCCGGCCUGAGAGGGUGACCGGCCACAUUGGGACUGAGAGACGGACCAGACUCCUACGGGAGGCAGCAGUGGGGAAUAUUGCACAAUGGGCGGAAGCCUGAUGCAGAAACGCCGCGUGCGGGAUGACGGCCUUCGGGUUGUAAACCGCUUUAGCCUGUGACGAAGCGUGAGUGACGGUAAUGGGUAAAGAAGCACCGGCUAACUACGUG